Molecule: ribosomal RNA, 272 nt
Filed under: uncultured bacterium
Lineage: Bacteria
Description: partial 16S ribosomal RNA
Rfam family: Bacterial small subunit ribosomal RNA
Source: RNAcentral
UGAGUGGCGGACCGGCGUACGGGUGAGUAACGCGUAUCCAACCUGCCCUUUACUAUGGGACAGCCCGUCGAAAGGCGGAUUAAUACCGUAUGUUGUCAUGUUGAUGCAUAUUUUCAUGACCAAAGGCUUCGGCCGGUAAAGGAUGGGGAUGCGUCUGAUUAGCUUGCCGGCGGGGUAACGGCCCACCGGGGCGACGAUCAGUAGGGGUUCUGAGAGGAAGGUCCCCCACAUUGGAACUGAGACACGGUCCAAACUCCUACGGGAGGCAGCAG